CGAAAUGCGAUAAGUAAUGUGAAUUGCAGAAUUCAGUGAAUCAUCGAAUCUUUGAACGCACCUUGCGCUCCUUGGUAUUCCUUGGAGCAUGCCUGUUUGAGUAUCAUGAAAUCUUCAAAGUAAAUCUUUUGUUAACUCAAUUGGUUUCUACUUUGGUAUUGGAGGUCCUUGCAGCUUCACACCUGCUCCUCUUUGUUCAUUAGCUGGAUCUCAGUGUUAUGCUUGGUUCCACUCGGCGUGAUAAGUUAUCUAUCGCUGAGGACACUGUAAAAGGUGGCCAAGGUAAAUGCAGAUGAACCGCUUCUAAUAGUCCAUUGACUUGGACAAUACUUUUAUGAUCUGAUCUCAAAUCAGGUAGGACUACCCGCUGAACUUAAGC
RNAcentral lists this unclassified non-coding RNA (379 nucleotides) under plant metagenome. RNAcentral's name for it is "partial contains 5.8S ribosomal RNA, internal transcribed spacer 2, and large subunit ribosomal RNA". The stretch from base 1 to 106 matches the Rfam family "5.8S ribosomal RNA", at positions 49 to 154 of the family's 154-position model. The record is from RNAcentral.